UACAGAGGUGGCAAGCGUUGUUCGGAAUUACUGGGCAUAAAGGGCGCGUAGGCGGUCCGAUAAGUCCCGUGUGAAAUCCCUCGGCUCAACUGAGGAAUGGCACGGGAAACUGACGGGCUUGAGUUCGGGAGAGGGGGGUGGAAUUCCCAGUGUAGCGGUGAAAUGCGUAGAUGUUGGGAGGAACACCGGUGGCGAAGGCGGCCCCCUGGACCGGUACUGACGCUGAGGCGCGAAAGCGUGGGGAGCGAAC
RNAcentral lists this ribosomal RNA (250 nucleotides) under uncultured bacterium. RNAcentral describes it as "partial 16S ribosomal RNA". It matches the Rfam family "Bacterial small subunit ribosomal RNA", at positions 524 to 773 of the family's 1533-position model. The record is from RNAcentral.